RNAcentral lists this ribosomal RNA (499 nucleotides) under Plateros sp. UPOL 000243. Its description in RNAcentral is "partial large subunit ribosomal RNA". Lineage: Eukaryota; Metazoa; Arthropoda; Insecta; Coleoptera; Lycidae. The record is from RNAcentral.
CAUGUCUUUUUGAGUAUAAUUUAAGGUUUAAUCUGCACAAUGAGAGUUAAAUUGCCGCAGUAUUUUGACUGUGCAAAGGUAGCAUAAUAAAUAGUUUCUUGAUUAGAAGCUGGUAUGAAUGAUUGAACGAGAGAAUUUCUGUCUCUUAUUAAUUUUUUGUUGAAUUUUAUUUUUAAGUUAAAAAGCUUAAAUUUUUGUAAAAGACGAGAAGACCCUAUAGAGUUUAAUAUUUAAAGUUAAUUAGAAAGUAGAGUAGUUUUUUGAUGGAAGUAUUUGGUUGGGGUGAUUUAUUGAUUUAUAAAAUUCUUUAAAUAUUUAAUUAAUGAUUAUUAAUUUUUUUAUCUAAUUUUUUUAAAUUUAAAAUUAAUUACCUUAGGGAUAACAGCGUAAUUUUUUUUUUAAGCUCUAAUUGAAAAAAAAUUUUGCGACCUCGAUGUUGGAUUAAAAUAAAUUUUUGGUGCAGUAACUUAAAAAUUAGGUCUGUUCGACCUUUAAUAUU